UACGGAAGGUCCUGGCGUUAUCCGGAUUUAUUGGGUUUAAAGGGAGCGUAGGCGGGAUGCUAAGAGUGCUGUGAAAUACCGCGGCUCAACCGUGGGAGUGCAGCGCGAACUGGCUUCCUUGAGUAGGCGGGAGGUACGCGGAAUUCGUGGUGUAGCAGUGAAAUGCUUAGAUAUCACGAGGAACCCCAAUUGCGAAGGCAGCGUGCCGCAGCCUCACUGACGCUGAAGCUCGAAGGUGCGGGUAUCGAAC
This 250-nucleotide ribosomal RNA is filed under the name uncultured prokaryote. Its description in RNAcentral is "partial 16S ribosomal RNA". It matches the Rfam family "Bacterial small subunit ribosomal RNA", at positions 524 to 773 of the family's 1533-position model. The record is from RNAcentral.